RNAcentral lists this ribosomal RNA (253 nucleotides) under uncultured bacterium. Its description in RNAcentral is "partial 16S ribosomal RNA". It matches the Rfam family "Bacterial small subunit ribosomal RNA", at positions 524 to 776 of the family's 1533-position model. The record is from RNAcentral.
UACGGAGGGUGCGAGCGUUGUCCGGAAUCACUGGGCUUACAGGGUGCGUAGGCGGCUUGUCAAGUAGGGUGUGAAAGCCCCCGGCUCAACCGGGGAAUUGCGCCCUAAACUGGCGAGCUGGAGUGAGAUAGGGGUGUGUGGAACUUCCGGUGGAGCGGUGAAAUGUGUUGAUAUCGGAAGGAACGCCGGUGGCGAAAGCGACACACUGGAUCUUGUCUGACGCUGAGGCACGAAAGCCAGGGGAGCGAACGGG